UGAAAUGUACAAAUAUGGAGGUAAUGGAGAAGUUUGUUUUCUACACACGUAAAUAUACAAUAUGAACAUUCUGAUGUAACUUUUUUCCCUCGUUGCAUCCAUACAAGGAAGAAUGAUUUCCAAAUCAGACCAAUAGCCUUUGGCAGUUGACCACAAUUAGAUGUUUUAUGUAUUUUUUGAUCAACAUUGAAAGACAACAAAAGGUGCAUUGAAGGAAUUGAACUACACCUUUUCUUUGUGGCAAAAAGUCACUGGAGAGAGACAGUAAAAACAAUCUAUGUAAAGCACCACACGGGGUAAAACUGUAUGGAGGGAGAGACCUUGACUGUGCCAGCAGGACGCCUGUUGCCUUGACCUCCCAUCUUCAAGUUCUCCAAGAAACAACAGCAUGCAACAGCUUUAUUUUUAGCUUAUUGCACCUUGACUCAUCCGAGGGCCAGUUCCCUCCCCAGCGGGCCUUCAUCCUUGUGUUUCGUUUAAGGUUCAUGACAUGCUCAAGACUAUCGGCUAUACUGUAUUUUUCUUUUUCUUUCCAACCAAUUUCACUGAAAGGUAUUUGUAUUUCCUCGAUCUUGAGCCGUUUCUUCCAUGUCAAGAGCAGAUUGCGACCAUGUAGAUAUUGAUUAUUCGAUCAGGCCUGAGAAAGCUGCUCAGUCGUGAAAAGACAAAUUAGCUGCAAGCUGCUGACCAAUUGCUACAAACCAAUCACAUCAUCGUAAGCGCCUGAUUGUAUCAAUGCCUUCCACAACGGAGUCGUUAAGGUUUAUGAAGAGGCAAAAAACCGUGGUGGGUUGUUUUCAAUAAACAGAGAGACACACUGGUCUGUGGGAUGCUUCCUCUGUGUGAGAGGCCCCAAUUAGACCUCAUGUAUUUACAGAUGGUGGAGAUGAACACAAAGCGACACAGGUGCAGCAGGGCCAACAUCAUCCUGCUGUAACUAUGACAACACUAGAUUGAUUCAGGACGUGGGAAUCAGGGGGUAGGAUGGGACUGCAUUUCAUCAGUGUGGUAACAGAUUGCAAGUCUGCAACCUCCUAAUCUGCAAUCCCUCUCCUCAUCAUAUAGCCCUCUGGCAUAAUAAUAUCUGCCUACAAUUCAACAGAAUGGCCUUAUUCAUCUAUGCAGCUGCGCUUCUUCACUACAGGCGCACCUUCCAAUUGAAAUUCUGAAUAGGCCUAAUUCUGCACAUGCUGCAUUACAAAAUGGCUUGCAUCCAUUCUCUCUCUCUCUCUCUCUCUCUCUCUCUCUCUCCUCUCUCUUCAGGGGUAAUGACAACAUGACUGCACCCACAAAAAAAAACAAUCCAUAUAGGCUCAGGUUUUUUUUUGGUGUGAAAAUAUGACAUGACAUGUGAAACGCACAGGCUUACAUAAGGAAUUAUUUCAAUACAUUUCCAAAACA
Sebastes umbrosus (honeycomb rockfish) is the source of this 1401-nucleotide long non-coding RNA. RefSeq lists it as uncharacterized. The record is from RefSeq and is a predicted model, not a curated record. The transcript has 2 exons. Lineage: Eukaryota; Metazoa; Chordata; Actinopteri; Perciformes; Sebastidae.